AAUUUAUUACAAGUAAAAACUGUGAAUUCAUCAAUCUCCUGACUUAAUCUGACCUAGCCGGAUCUCUUUCAGAGAGUUUUCUGAACUUGAAGCAUGCCUGUUUCUUGAUUAAUGAGGUCCAUCGCUACUGUGGGAGAUGAGUGGUUGUCAGCCCUGUGGCAUAUCAACUGCUGUAUCUCACUCUUUUCAACCUCUUACACUGACCUGUGUAGAACCAAGUCCACCCAUAAGACCAAUAUGUUUCUCCUCUUUUUGCUUAGUUGCAGAGAUAUACUUGCACUGUAGUCUGAAAAAAAACUAAAACCCUGAAGCCAUCAACAACCUGGUAGGACAAACCACACAUUAUCUCCAAUCUGUAACCACUGCCUCCCCUCCCCCCUGCAGUUGUUGUAUUUUGCAGAGGGACAGACUACAUGCUCCCAACAGACGAAAUCUGCGAUGGCACCUUUCAAACUAUUGUUUAGACUCAAGCAAAAUGAAAACCAUGCCUGUUCCCCUCUCUGCUCCUAAAGCUAGCAAGGGUGGGAGAUGCUGUGUUUACAUACUGAGGACAGACAGAAGCUCUGCUCGCUGCUGGGACAUCCAUUUUAUUUGGAUUGACACCAGGACUACUUUGUGUUUUCAAUACAUCGCUGUGGCUUUCACAGGGGGGAAAGGAGGGGGCUUUCGAAAGCCAAACCAAGCCGCGUUCAUUGCCCCAGUGGCCUUUAGCAACCUCUUCACAACUUUGUCCCUACUUUUGUAACAAACUUCCCGGGAUGGGGCUUUGGUUUGCACACCGCCAGUGUAAACUGCCACUCUAGCAAAUCUUUGCAGUGCUUUUUUUUUUUUUGGGGGGGGGGGCAUAAUUUUUCAAACAGGGCGAGCAGACUGGGACUAUACAGCUGACUGCACGCGAGCAAAAGAGAGAAGAGGGAAGAAAAGCGAAAAAAGAAGUCAGGAAAAGCUUCUCUCCAAGCAGAAGGGAGCCCCUAGUGUCCACGAUCCAAGUGUAAAAAGAAGAAGAAGAAGAAAAAAAAGAAAACGUUUUCAGGCUGGAGAGGAUUUCCACAUUUCGGGGGAGGGAGACGUGGUGGCAAAUGCCUCUUUAAAUCUCUCCACUGGGUUUUUCUUCUGAUCGGCUCGACAGGGAAAAGAACACUACAAUUCUCCAUUGCAAAGCGUGAGCUGAUCAAACCGUUAGCACUGAAGAGCAGCUUUAAGACUUUAGUUAAUAAAAUGCCAGAGAGAUUCAUAAUAA
Molecule: long non-coding RNA, 1240 nt
Organism: Caretta caretta (loggerhead turtle)
Lineage: Eukaryota; Metazoa; Chordata; Testudines; Cheloniidae
Source: RefSeq, a predicted model, not a curated record